GGAGUGUGGCCUUGGAUUCCACAGACCUCGCAAUUCUGAGUUAUAGCAACCACGGCGGCUGGAGGCGAUACGUUUAAACUUUCAAUCUUCUGGACCAAAGCAUCCACUUUUGCAUUGACGUGAUCAAGGUUACUUAUCUCGUACAUGCCAGUUUUCGGUUGAGGUUUUUCCACCGUUGUUCGUUCGGUUCCCCACUGAUAGUGGUUUUGGGCCAUGCUC
This 219-nucleotide long non-coding RNA is filed under the name Lathyrus oleraceus (garden pea). RNAcentral's name for it is "Pisum sativum (pea) long non-coding RNA (PSAT_LNC031577)". Lineage: Eukaryota; Viridiplantae; Streptophyta; Magnoliopsida; Fabales; Fabaceae. The record is from RNAcentral.